Molecule: ribosomal RNA, 429 nt
Rfam family: Bacterial large subunit ribosomal RNA (bases 40-334)
AUAUAAAUUAUUUUAAAUGUAAAAAAACAUUUAUUUAAAAAAAAGACGAUAAGACCCUAUUGAACUUAACUUAAGUUAAACUGGGGCAGUAAAUUAAUUAUUAUUUUAAUUUAAAAAUUAAAACACUAAUCCAAUUUAAUUGAAUUAUCAAGUUACCGUAGGGAUAACAGCGCAAUUAUAUUUCAAAGACCUUAUAUUAAAAAUAGAUUACGACCUCGAUGUUGAAUUAAUAACCUAAUUAAAGCAAAAGCUAAAACAGGAAGUCUGUUCGACUUUUAAAAAAUUACAUGAUUUGAGUUCAGACCGGUGUAAGCCAGGUCGGUUUCUAUCUUUUAGAAAAAUUUUUACAGUACGAAAGGACCUAAAAAUAUAAUUUAAUUAUUAAAUUGGCAGAUUAAUGCAUUAGAAUUAGAAUCUAAUAAAUCUUCA